UCGCGAGCUUCGGCUCCUAUCGGAUCGUUUUAGAAACAUCAGUGGCCAGCAAUCGUCAGGAUUGUUGAGCUGCAUUGGCGGGAUUUCGCCGUCUUCGUUUCUCUUUCUUCGCGGACGAACACGCGCUGGGGCUGCAGGUUUGCAGAGUCCCUGGUCCUUGACUGGAUAUGCGUUAGGGGCUUGUAGCUCAGUUGGUUAGAGCGCGCGCUUGAUAAGCGUGAGGUCGGAAGUUCAAGUCUUCCCAGGCCCACCACUUUCAUCGAGUGAGCAUUCGUCUUCUGGUUACGGGGCCAUAGCUCAGCUGGGAGAGCGCGUGCUUUGCAAGCAUGAGGUCGUCGGUUCGAUCCCGUCUGGCUCCACCAGAUGGUUUGAUCAUCGACUGAUCGUGCACCUAAAUCGUCCGCGAAACAUCACUUCGCAUCUUGCUAGUCUGGAUAGACAGCAAGUUGCGUGAUUUCUGACAUCGUAAAGAGGAGAUCGAUCCGAGUUGGAUCGUGCAGCAAGCAAUUGCUACGCGAGACUUCAUUAUCUCCGGAUCAUUUCGGCGCUCGUGCGUCUUUCAAGGGCAGCUCACAAGGCUGCUUCUGGAGAGACAAGCGAGUUGUAAAUGAUCCUUUUAGCGAAGCUUGACCGCCUCGCUAUCGGAACGAUCUUACGAAGCAAGCUGGUCUUUCUAAUCAUUGUCCGGCUGCAGAUAGCGUUCAUCGAGGGCGCGUGCCGCAAGGUAAUUCUGCAGACAACAUUCUGCCGAGUGUGUGGACAUUGAUAAUGAGAGCAAUCAAGUGCCUUAAGGGUGUUCGGUGGAUGCCUUGGCGCUGAGAGGCGAUGAAGGACGUGCUACGCUGCGAUAAGCCGUGGGGAGCUGCGA
This 868-nucleotide unclassified non-coding RNA is filed under the name Bradyrhizobium japonicum. RNAcentral describes it as "partial contains 16S-23S ribosomal RNA intergenic spacer, and 23S ribosomal RNA". The stretch from base 177 to 250 matches the Rfam family "tRNA". Lineage: Bacteria; Pseudomonadati; Pseudomonadota; Alphaproteobacteria; Hyphomicrobiales; Nitrobacteraceae. The record is from RNAcentral.